AGCUAGAGUGGUAGGCUGACUUAAAAUUAGAACAAGGCAGACUUCUUCCCCAACUGCUUCCCCAGGUUUCCCUGGGGAUUUGCAAACAUUUGCCAACCUCCCCUGUUUCCCAAGCCUGAACUUCAAAGGCCACAGAGGACUGCUGGCAUUUCCUGGUUCUGUGACACCCUGGUCCCCCCUGGUAUGAUGAAGCUCAGAGCCUGCCAGAGCUUCUUCUGGGAGCACUACACCAGACCACAUAACGCCCACGAGGCUACGGUUUCCUGGAAUCCCUCGCUGGAAUCCACGAGGAGUCACUGGGCCUCAAAGCUCAGAAAGCAUCAUGGAAUGUCAGAACACAGUCCAAGCAUGGAGUUGUGUGGUCAGAUUUCUGAAUGCUUGUAAGAAAAUGGGACAAGACUCUUGCAACCUCAGCUUCUUCAAAAACAAAAAACAGAAUUGCUCUUGGAAUGUGCUUGCGUGCCCAUUCCAGGUGUAGUGGACUGGAGUGAGAUUACUUCAGAUUAUUCAUUACAACUGGCUGUUGUUAUUUGUUUAGACAACUCUAUGGAGAAACACAUUUUGCCCUGUGUGUCCUUGCAAUUAAACAUCUUACUCCUGUGAUUCUUCUUAACCCCUGAGUAUAAAUUGCCCAAUGCUCUGAAUAAAGCUGGC
This 654-nucleotide long non-coding RNA is filed under the name Mus musculus (house mouse). RNAcentral's name for it is "RIKEN cDNA 1700113B09 gene". Lineage: Eukaryota; Metazoa; Chordata; Mammalia; Rodentia; Muridae. The record is from RNAcentral.